RNAcentral lists this ribosomal RNA (229 nucleotides) under uncultured bacterium. RNAcentral's name for it is "partial 16S ribosomal RNA". It matches the Rfam family "Bacterial small subunit ribosomal RNA", at positions 568 to 796 of the family's 1533-position model. The record is from RNAcentral.
UGCGUAGGCGGAAUAAUAAGUCAGUGGUGAAAUCCUGUUGCUCAACCACAGAACUGCCAUUGAUACUGUUAUUCUUGAAUAUAGUUGAGGUAGGCGGAAUGUGUAAUGUAGCGGUGAAAUGCUUAGAUAUUACACAGAACACCGAUCGCGAAGGCAGCUUGCUAAACUAUUAUUGACGCUGAGGCACGAAAGCGUGGGGAGCGAACAGGAUUAGAUACCCUGGUAGUCC